AGGGGUGUAGCUCAAGUGGUAGAGCGCAUGCUUAGCAUACAUGAGGUCCUGGGUUCAAGCCCCAGGACCUCCA
Molecule: transfer RNA, 73 nt
Filed under: Camelus bactrianus (Bactrian camel)
Lineage: Eukaryota; Metazoa; Chordata; Mammalia; Artiodactyla; Camelidae
Also listed under: 1 other name
Rfam family: tRNA
About the family: Transfer RNA (tRNA) molecules are approximately 80 nucleotides in length. Their secondary structure includes four short double-helical elements and three loops (D, anti-codon, and T loops). Further hydrogen bonds mediate the characteristic L-shaped molecular structure. tRNAs have two regions of fundamental functional importance: the anti-codon, which is responsible for specific mRNA codon recognition, and the 3' end, to which the tRNAs corresponding amino acid is attached (by aminoacyl-tRNA synthetases). tRNAs cope with the degeneracy of the genetic code in two manners: having more than one tRNA (with a specific anti-codon) for a particular amino acid; and 'wobble' base-pairing, i.e. permitting non-standard base-pairing at the 3rd anti-codon position.
Source: Rfam by way of RNAcentral